Molecule: ribosomal RNA, 468 nt
Filed under: uncultured Tylospora
Lineage: Eukaryota; Fungi; Basidiomycota; Agaricomycetes; Atheliales; Atheliaceae
Description: eukaryotic LSU rRNA
Rfam family: 5.8S ribosomal RNA (bases 125-279)
Source: RNAcentral
UGUGCACGCCCGAGCCAUCCCCCCCAACAAACACCGUGGGCCUUCGGGCCCGCGUAUAUUUACUCUGAAUGUGUAUAGAAUGUAAACCAUUUGUUUGCCCUGAAAAAGCAAACGAAAAAAAUACAACUUUCAACAACGGAUCUCUUGGCUCUCGCAUCGAUGAAGAACGCAGCGAAAUGCGAUAAGUAAUGUGAAUUGCAGAUUUUCAGUGAAUCAUCGAAUCUUUGAACGCACCUUGCGCCCCUUGGUAUUCCGAGGGGCAUGCCUGUUUGAGUGUCAUUAAAUCCUCAACCGCGCCGAUUGAUUUCGGUGGGGCUUGGACUUUGGAGCGUGCUGGCGAAGGUCGGCUCCUCUUUAAAUGCAUCAGCGGAAGAAACCUUUGUCUUUCCUGCCUUCGGUGUGAUAAUUGUGUUGCGCCGCGGUGGAACUUCAACGAUCCGCUUACAACGGUCUUCGGACGAAACCUCA